GCGGGUAUGGUGUAGUGGUAGCACAUCAGCUUCCCAAGCUGCUAGCACGGGUUCGAAUCCCGUUACCCGCU
This 71-nucleotide transfer RNA is filed under the name Ardenticatenaceae bacterium. RNAcentral describes it as "tRNA-Gly". It matches the Rfam family "tRNA". Rfam says of the family: Transfer RNA (tRNA) molecules are approximately 80 nucleotides in length. Their secondary structure includes four short double-helical elements and three loops (D, anti-codon, and T loops). The record is from RNAcentral. Lineage: Bacteria; Bacillati; Chloroflexota; Ardenticatenia; Ardenticatenales; Ardenticatenaceae.